UAAGAAGGGAGCUAGCGUUGUUCGGAAUCACUGGGCGUAAAGCGCACGUAGGUGGACAGUUAAGACAGGGGUGAAAGCCCGAGGCUCAACCUCGGAAUUGCCUCUGAUACUGGCUGUCUCGAGUCCGAGAGAGGUGGGUGGAAUUCCUAGUGUAGAGGUGAAAUUCGUAGAUAUUAGGAAGAACACCGGUGGCGAAGGCGGCCCACUGGCUCGGUACUGACACUGAGGUGCGAAAGCGUGGGGAGCAAACAGG
Molecule: ribosomal RNA, 253 nt
Filed under: uncultured bacterium
Lineage: Bacteria
Description: partial 16S ribosomal RNA
Rfam family: Bacterial small subunit ribosomal RNA
Source: RNAcentral